RNAcentral lists this ribosomal RNA (599 nucleotides) under Leifsonia sp. RNAcentral describes it as "bacterial SSU rRNA". It matches the Rfam family "Bacterial small subunit ribosomal RNA", at positions 137 to 750 of the family's 1533-position model. The record is from RNAcentral. Lineage: Bacteria; Bacillati; Actinomycetota; Actinomycetes; Micrococcales; Microbacteriaceae.
UCUGGGAUAACCUCCGGAAACGGAAGCUAAUACCGGAUAUGACGCACGGAGGCAUCUCCUGUGCGUGGAAAGAACUUCGGUCAAGGAUGGACUCGCGGCCUAUCAGGUAGUUGGUGAGGUAACGGCCCACCAAGCCUACGACGGGUAGCCGGCCUGAGAGGGUGACCGGCCACACUGGGACUGAGACACGGCCCAGACUCCUACGGGAGGCAGCAGUGGGGAAUAUUGCACAAUGGGCGCAAGCCUGAUGCAGCAACGCCGCGUGAGGGACGACGGCCUUCGGGUUGUAAACCUCUUUUAGUAGGGAAGAAGCGAAAGUGACGGUACCUGCAGAAAAAGCACCGGCUAACUACGUGCCAGCAGCCGCGGUAAUACGUAGGGUGCGAGCGUUGUCCGGAAUUAUUGGGCGUAAAGAGCUCGUAGGCGGUCUGUCGCGUCUGCUGUGAAAUCCCGAGGCUCAACCUCGGGCCUGCAGUGGGUACGGGCAGACUAGAGUGCGGUAGGGGAGAAUGGAAUUCCUGGUGUAGCGGUGGAAUGCGCAGAUAUCAGGAGGAACACCGAUGGCGAAGGCAGUUCUCUGGGCCGUAACUGACGCUGAG